ACCUGCACCCAACCUCUGCUGACAAUUGCUCUACACCUUGAUAUCCCUUUGAAAUUCACUCUAGCUGCCCCCAAAAAGAUCUACAUCCAUUUUAAGUUUCUUCGUCCAAAAUAUGAGGAGUUUGCAACUUAAUUGUCACUGGAGUAUUAAAUCUAAAAGGAGAUGGUUCACAUCUGAGCGUUGGAGUUUCAAGGAACUUAUUCUGCAAAACAAUUGAGAGAUUAAAGAAAAAUGCUAGAAUGAAGAAUUGAGAUAAUGGCGGAAAAAAAAAACAAAACAAGAACAACUGUUCGACGAAAAAGGAACUACAUGACCACUACCGUGCUCUAUAAAGGCAUAUGAGUUAAGAUACUGACACAAUAGAUUCAACAGAAAUGACUUUCCACCGCGAAAAUUUCCAAAUACGCUGAUAAUUGCAACGGGAUGGUCUUU
Molecule: non-coding RNA, 432 nt
Organism: Ciona intestinalis (vase tunicate)
Lineage: Eukaryota; Metazoa; Chordata; Ascidiacea; Phlebobranchia; Cionidae
Source: RefSeq, a predicted model, not a curated record